CUUGGAAUCAGAAGUCUGGGGUUUGAGCCCUCUCUCUGCUGCUUGGGAGUUGUAUGACUUUUGGGAAGUAAUUUUUCCUCAUCUGAACUUGUAAGAUAAUGAAAUGAAUCUAAAUAAUCUCUAAAAUUUCUUCCGGCUCUGACAUUCUGUGAUUCUUUAACUGCGUGGGCAGGAGGCUGUGGGGAAGGGUGAUGACGGAGAGCCUCUGAUCUGCAGUAUGGAAAGACACUGGAUCAAGCAUAACCCACUGUCACUCCAAACUCCUAAAGUCAAGCAAUCCACCAAACUCAGCAGCCUGAGGAGCAGGGAUGAACCAAUGCUGCCAGCUGAGACUGAAUAUUGCGAAAUUAAAGUGACCAAGGUUGGCCCCAAAGAAGAGACAAGAGAAGAUAUCUCCUACAUCCUUUGCAGAGGUUGGUUUGGAAGUUUCUGUUUGGAAUAUCCUAUGCCCAGUGUUCUGAAAUCCUUUAGCAAACAUACAGCAGCCCACGUAGCCUUCAUAACAAUGGAAGUAUCUCUCAUGACUGCCUUGCCCCAGCCGAGCACUGCCCAUGGUGCUGAAGACAAUGAAGUUGGAUCCCUCAGGGACAAAAGACUCGCCAUCUCCAUUGUUCAUCUGGAGCUGACCAGUAAGAAGUAGAAUUGGGACUGAGGAGAGAGACCAGGGGGCCAAGGGAAGGGAUGUGGGAAGGGAUGGAGUCUCUGAUAAACACAUCUGCCAUAGGGAAGAGCUAUAAUAUGACACAAUCAUUGUUGGAUACUGAGCUGCGGAACACGGAGAAGCC
This 785-nucleotide long non-coding RNA is filed under the name Monodelphis domestica (gray short-tailed opossum). RNAcentral describes it as "lncRNA (ENSMODG00000033342.2)". Lineage: Eukaryota; Metazoa; Chordata; Mammalia; Didelphimorphia; Didelphidae. The record is from RNAcentral.